Molecule: ribosomal RNA, 1526 nt
Filed under: uncultured Cytophaga sp.
Lineage: Bacteria; Pseudomonadati; Bacteroidota; Cytophagia; Cytophagales; Cytophagaceae
Description: bacterial SSU rRNA
Rfam family: Bacterial small subunit ribosomal RNA
Source: RNAcentral
AGAACGCUCUCGGCAGGCCUAACACAUGCAAGUCGAGGGGUUAACGGUGUCUUCGGACAGGGCGACGACCGGCGCACGGGUGAGUAUCUCGUAUGUAAUCUAUCUUUAACUGGAGAAUAGCCCGAAGAAAUUCGGAUUAAUACUCCAUAAUACUAUGAACUGGCAUCUUUUUAUAGUUAAAGCUCCGGCGGUUAAAGAUGGGCAUGCGUAACAUUAGUUUGUUGGUGAGGUAACGGCUCACCAAGACUACGAUGUUUAGGGGGUCUGAGAGGAUGGUCCCCCAACCAUGGUACUGAGACACGGACCAGACUCCUACGGGAGGCAGCAGUGAGGAAUAUUGGUCAAUGGGCGCAAGCCUGAACCAGCCAUGCCGCGUGAAGGAUGACAGCGCUAUGCGUUGUAAACUUCUUUUGUACAGGAAGAAACACUUCUACGUGUAGAAGCUUGACGGUACUGUACGAAUAAGCAUCGGCUAACUCCGUGCCAGCAGCCGCGGUAAUACGGAGGAUGCAAGCGUUAUCCGGAUUUAUUGGGUUUAAAGGGUACGUAGGCGGAAAAUUAAGUCAGUAGUGAAAUCCUGCAGCUUAACUGUAGAACUGUUAUUGAUACUGGUUUUCUUAGAAUAUAGUUGAGGUAGCGGAAUGUGUAAUGUAGCGGUGAAAUGCUUAGAUAUUACACAGAACACCGAUUGCGAAGGCCGCUUACUAAGCUAUGAUUGACGCUGAGGUCCCGAAAGCGUGGGGAGCGAACAGGAUUAGAUACCAUGGUAGUCCACGCCGUAAACGAUGAUCACUCGUUGUUGGCAAUACAUCGUCAGCGACUUAACGAAAGCAUUAAGUGAUCCACCUGGGGAGUACGCUCGCAAAGAUUGAAACUCAAAGGGAUUGGCGGGGGCCCGCACAAGCGGAGGACAUGUGGUUUAAUUCAUGAAUACGCGAAGGAACUUACCUGGGGCUUAAAAUGGUAAAACGAACGGGAUUCCGGGAAAAACUGAAUUCCUUUUCUUUAAGAAGGAACGGCUUUUGGCAAAGUGGUGGCCUGGCAAUGGGGCUGGUUCCGGUUCAAGCUCCGCUGGCCCGUGGAAGAGGUGUUCGGGGUUAAAGUUUCAACCAUAAACGAGCGCAAACCUCUCAAUCAUUAAGUUGCCCACGGAUAAUGCCGGGGACUCUAAUGAAACUGCCACCGUAAGGUGAGAGGAAGGUGGGGAUGGACGUCAAAUCAGCACGGCCCUUAUGUCCAGGGCUACACACGUGUUACAAUGGCCGAUACAGAGGGCAGCUACCUGGUGACAGGAUGCAAAUCUCUAAAGUCGGUCCAAGUUCGGAUCGAAGUCUGCAACUCGACUUCGUGAAGCUGGAAUCGCUAGUAAUCGUAUAUCAGCAAUGAUACCGGUGAAUACGUUCCCGGGCCUUGUACACACCGCCCGUCAAGCCAUGGAAGCUGGGGGUGCCUGAAGUUCGUAACCGCAAGGAGCGACCUAAGGUAAAACUAGUGACUGGGGCUAAGUCGUAACAAGGUAACCAAAA